Molecule: long non-coding RNA, 1376 nt
Filed under: Numida meleagris (helmeted guineafowl)
Lineage: Eukaryota; Metazoa; Chordata; Aves; Galliformes; Numididae
Description: lncRNA (ENSNMEG00000014247.1)
Source: RNAcentral
CGGACACGCGGGGCCUCGUGGCCAAACCCCUCGAGCUGCAGGUCCGAGCACACCGCGCUCCCCAGCCCUGGGCUCGCAGUCCGGGGCCGUGGCUCCUCGCGCUGCCGUGCUGCUCGGGGCCAGCUCGGCACGGAAGGCUCCCAGAAAAAAAACCCCUUGGUCAAAGGGUAAAACUGCUUGGAGAAUGAGAGCCGCGGGGUCAGGCGGCAGCAGGGCCCCGGGGAUAAAGCCCUGAUUAGUAUUCCCGGAGCUAAGAAAUGCACCUCCGUUUAGCAGCUUGAGUAAAUACAGUGCCUUAAUAUUGUGUGUUAAUAGACUCGCUUUUUCAGCUACUGACGACUGUAGUUUCAGAAAAUUUAUUGUUGCUAUAAAGCGGCUCUCUCUCUCUCUCCCUUCUCUCUCUCUUUUGCUAAUUGACAAAGGGGCCCAGUAAUUAAAGGACAAUAAAAGUUUUCCAGUAAUUAGUUUCUGUUGUUUGGUUACAGGCCAUCAAUUGUUCUUUAAUAAUACCAAUCGUUAGCAUGCAGUAGUCAGUGGGCUCUCAAAGGCUUCUGGGGCACCACCACUUACCACCACUACACAUUCCAUUCCCAUGAGGACAUCCUGCCUCCAGCUCCGCGUUAACCCUCUCCUAGGACGCAGUCCUCCUGCCCGGCUGCGUGUUUUGGGGUAAACACCUCUCAUCACUCGUGGCUAGAAGGCAGCAAUUAGGGCUCAGCCCAUGGGACCUUGGAUCAGGAGAUGCCUUGGGAGAGCUGCCCACGUGUCCCAGAGUGGUCAGACGCCAUCGGGAUUGGGCAGGGGGAAGAGGAUGAAGACGGCACACACAGCAGGACGUGGCUUGCCAAGGGCUUGGGCCACUGGGUCCUGCAGACACCUUAUUUCUUCUUCUCUAGUGAAGACAAACCUCUCAGCAAAGCCCAUCUCAUGUGCUGAUGCUAAAACAUUCAUCCAUGCAGUGCUUUGCGAAGAGUCUGCCUGCGGGUCGCCUCAGUCCCAGCCUCAGCAGACACCUCCUGUAAACCAUUGCAUGAUCUUCAAAGAGGCCUACAAGGGUCCCAAGGAACACGGAUUGGUUUCACCCAUCAGGACAAGGACUGCUUGGAUGCCCUACAAACCAAAGCCAGCCCAGGACGCCCACCAGCAGGAUCUGUGCUCUCCUGCCAUGCCCGUGCCACCCUGCAGCCGGUGUCCAAAGGGCAUGCUCUGCUUCCCAGCCUCACCCAAGUCAAACUUCAGCCAAGACCUAAAUAAAAUUUAAAAGUGUCAGACAACUCCUGGCAGCACUUCAGCGUAGGGAACAAGGAGCGAGCCAGCAUGAAGUUUGGGAAGAGCGCUAUGUGCGAGUAAUAAAAGCGAAUAACUACUGAAAUUCA